This 253-nucleotide ribosomal RNA is filed under the name uncultured bacterium. RNAcentral's name for it is "partial 16S ribosomal RNA". It matches the Rfam family "Bacterial small subunit ribosomal RNA", at positions 524 to 776 of the family's 1533-position model. The record is from RNAcentral.
UACGGAGGGUGCGAGCGUUGUCCGGAAUCACUGGGCGUAAAGGGCGCGUAGGCGGCGCGGGCAGUCAACGGUGAAAGCUUGGGGCUCAACCCCGAGUCGGCCGUCGAUACUCCCGGGCUGGAGCACUGUAGAGGCAGGUGGAAUUCCGGGUGUAGCGGUGGAAUGCGUAGAGAUCCGGAAGAACACCGGUGGCGAAGGCGGCCUGCUGGGCAGUUCCUGACGCUGAGGCACGAAGGUCAGGGGAGCAAACGGG